This is a non-coding RNA of Jatropha curcas, 1986 nucleotides long. Lineage: Eukaryota; Viridiplantae; Streptophyta; Magnoliopsida; Malpighiales; Euphorbiaceae. The record is from RefSeq and is a predicted model, not a curated record.
UUUUUUUUUUUUUACUCUCUCUGUCUCUCUCCUACAGUUAUUAGCAAUUACAAAAAAGCUAGACAGGUCCGUCUUCUAGUCUGUUUAUUGAUCUUUGAAGGUGGAAGGUAAAAAUGUCGUUCGAUCUUCUCUUAAAGCCAUCGUGCAGUGGAUGUGGAUCGACCACAGAUUUGUAUGGAAGCAAUUGCAAGCACAUGACUCUUUGCUUAACUUGUGGCAAAACCAUGGCGGAGAACCUUGAGAAAUGCUAUGAUUGUGGCGUCACCAUUACUCGUUUGAUUCGAGAAUAUAAUGUUCGGGCCAGUCCUAUCACCGACAAGAACUACUUUAUUGGUAGAUUUGUUACAGGAUUGCCUAGUUUUUCUAGAAAGAAAAAUGCUGAUAGUAAAUGGUCUAUUCAUAAAGAAGGACUACAAGGACGUCAACUUACUGAUGCUUUGCGGGAGAAGUACAAGAACAGGCCUUGGCUGUUGGAGGAUGAAACUGGCCAGUCUCAGUACCAAGGUCAUCUCGAAGGUUCGCAAUCAGCAACUUACUACCUGUUGAUACUGCAGGGAAAAGAGUUUGUUGCUAUCCCUGCUGGUUCUUGGUAUAAUUUUAACAAAGUUGCACAUUACAAGCAACUUACCUUGGAGGAAGCAGAAGAGAAGAUGAAGAACAGGAGAAAGACUGCAGAUGGAUAUGAAAGAUGGAUGAUGAAAGCUGCAAAUAAUGGGGCUGCUGCAUUUGGUGAAGUGGAGAAGUUUGAUGAUAAGGAUAGUGGUACAGCUGGUGGAAAGGGACGCAGAAAAACAGCUGGUGAUGAUGAAGGCGGCAAUGUUUCUGACAAGGGAGAGGAAGUUGAAGAAGAGGAGACAGCACGGAAGAAUAGACUUGGACUUCGCAGAUUUGAUGGUGAUGAUGAAGAGGAAGGUCAAAAGGGGAGUGAUCAUGAUAUGGAUGAUGAUGAUGGCGAGAAGGGUGAUGAUUGGGAGCAUGAAGAGAUUUUCACUGAUGAUGAUGAAGCAGUUGGUAAUGAUCCAGAGGAACGGGAAGAUCUGGCUCCUGAGCUUCCUGCUCCUCCAGAAAUCAAGCAGGAUGAAGAUGAUGAGGGCGAAGAGAAUGAAGAAGGUGGAUUGAGCAAAUCUGGGAAAGAGUUGAAGAAGCUUCUUGGGAAAGCUGGUGGACUCAGUGAUUCAGAUGAUGAUGAUGAUGAUGAUAGGCCUAAGUUGAGUUAUAUAUUAUGUAUGCUGAUAAUAUCCAGAUGGAUGAUGAGAUUUCUGUGCUGGCUCCGAAGAAGAAGGAUACACCUAAGGAGGAACCUACUGAAAGUAAUCAUGCAAAAUCAAUGCCUUCUGGUUCUGCUAAGGGAAAUCAAUCUGCUUCCAAGUCAGCAAAGGGAAAAAGAAAAUCAAAUGGUGAUGAUGCAAAAACAUCUAACAGUGUGCCUCAAAAGAAGGUCAAGGCAGAAAAUGAACUGAAACAUACCGUGAAAGAAGAAAGUGUUGCUGCUACUAAAAGUAACGUGACUUCCAAGGUGGUACCAUCAUCUCUGAAAACAGAAUCAACGUCAUCCAUUGGACCUGUCUCAGAAGAAGAGAUUAGGGCUGUCUUGUCGCAAAAUGGACCUGUGACUACACAAGAACUUGUUUCUCGGUUUAAAGCGAAGCUAAAAUGCCGCCAGGACAAGGAAGCUUUUGCAGCUACUCUAAAGAGAAUUUCUAGGAUUCAGAAGACCAAUGAAUCUAGUUAUGUUGUAUUGAGAAGGUAGAUGAUAUCUUUUCAGCCUCUAAAGACAAUGAUUUGGUCAGAUCAGUUUAUGAGAAACUGCAAAUUUUGCUACAGUAAUUCCAAAAUGUCUUUGCUACAACUAAAGAUGUCUUUUUGGAAUAUGCCCAUUUUGUAUUUAUUUCCCAAGGCCUGGUAAAGACAUCUUUUAUUGAGUCUUCAUGUGCAGGAAAUUUGAUGCAUUCAAUUUUAAAUUUGGACAAACAUUAUUGUUUGGUA